This 791-nucleotide ribosomal RNA is filed under the name uncultured archaeon. RNAcentral describes it as "bacterial SSU rRNA". It matches the Rfam family "Archaeal small subunit ribosomal RNA", at positions 85 to 879 of the family's 1478-position model. The record is from RNAcentral.
ACGGCUCAGUAACACGUGGAUAACCUGCCCAAGGGUCUGGGAUAACCCCGGGAAACUGGGGAUAAUACCGGAUGGAUCACUAGUGCUGGAAUGCUUGGUGGUCGAAAGGCAACGCCUUUGGAUGGGUCUGCGGCGGAUUAGGUUGACGCCGGUGUAACGUACCGGCGUGCCUGUAAUCCGUACGGGUUGUGGGAGCAAGAGCCCGGAGAUGGAUUCUGAGACACGAAUCCAGGCCCUACGGGGCGCAGCAGGCGCGAAAACUCUACAAUGCAGGCAACUGCGAUAGGGGGACAUCGAGUGGCAUCCACCUUGGGUGCCUGUCCAACCGUCUAAAAAACGGUUGUUAGCAAGGGCCGGGUAAGACCGGUGCCAGCCGCCGCGGUAAUACCGGCGGCUCGAGUGGUGGCCGAUAUUAUUGAGUCUAAAGGGUCCGUAGCCGGCUUUGCAAGUCCCCUGGGAAAUCCAGCGGCUUAACCGUUGGGCUUUCAUGGGAUACUACAUUGCUUGGGACUGGGAGAGGUAGGAGGUACUCGGGGGGUAGGGGUGAAAUCCUGUAAUCCUCCGGGGACCACCGGUGGCGAAGGCGUCUUACCAGAACGGAUUCGACGGUGAGGGACGAAAGCUGGGGGCACGAACCGGAUUAGAUACCCGGGUAGUCCCAGCCGUAAACGAUGCUCGCUAGGUGUCAGGCAUGGCGCGACCGUGUCUGGUGCCGCAGGGAAGCCGUGAAGCGAGCCACCUGGGAAGUACGGCCGCAAGGCUGAAACUUAAAGGAAUUGGCGGGGGAGCAC